UCCUGCUAUCAAAGGCGUC
Molecule: unclassified non-coding RNA, 19 nt
Filed under: Chlamydomonas reinhardtii
Lineage: Eukaryota; Viridiplantae; Chlorophyta; Chlorophyceae; Chlamydomonadales; Chlamydomonadaceae
Description: small RNA Cre_2593
Source: RNAcentral